UACGGAGGGUGCAAGCGUUAUCCGGAUUCACUGGGUUUAAAGGGUGCGUAGGUGGGUCUGUAAGUCCGUGGUGAAAUCUCCGAGCUUAACUUGGAAACUGCCAUGGAUACUAUAGAUCUUGAAUACUGUGGAGGUUAGCGGAAUAUGUCAUGUAGCGGUGAAAUGCUUAGAUAUGACAUAGAACACCAAUUGCGAAGGCAGCUGGCUACACAAAUAUUGACACUGAUGCACGAAAGCGUGGGGAUCAAACAGG
Molecule: ribosomal RNA, 253 nt
Filed under: uncultured bacterium
Lineage: Bacteria
Also listed under: 1 other name
Description: partial 16S ribosomal RNA
Rfam family: Bacterial small subunit ribosomal RNA
Source: RNAcentral